UGAGGAAUAUUGCGCAAUGGGGGCAACCCUGACGCAGCAACGCCGCGUGAGUGAGGAAGGUUUUCGGACCGUAAAGCUCUGUCGCGCGGGAAGAAAUGUAUCGUGGCUAAUAUCCAUGAUAUUUGCCGGUACCGCUAAAGGAAGCACCGGCUAACUCCGUGCCAGCAGCCGCGGUAAUACGGUGGGUGCAAGCGUUGUUCGGAAUUAUUGGGCGUAAAGCGCGCGUAGGCGGCUGAAUAAGUCAGAUGUGAAAUCCCUGGGCUUAACCCAGGAAGUGCAUUUGAAACUAUUCAGCUUGAGUAGGGGAGAGGAAAGUGGAAUUCCUGGUGUAGAGGUGAAAUUCGUAGAUAUCAGGAGGAACACCGGUGGCGAAGGCGACUUUCUGGCCCUAUACUGACGCUGAGACGCGAGAGCGUGGGUAGCAAACA
RNAcentral lists this ribosomal RNA (428 nucleotides) under uncultured prokaryote. RNAcentral's name for it is "bacterial SSU rRNA". It matches the Rfam family "Bacterial small subunit ribosomal RNA", at positions 355 to 774 of the family's 1533-position model. The record is from RNAcentral.